AAUAUUGGACAAUGGGGGCAACCCUGAUCCAGCCAUGCCGCGUGUGUGAAGAAGGUCUUCGGAUUGUAAAACUCUGUCAUUGGGGAAGAAUAAAUGACGGUACCCAAUGAGGAAGCACCGGCUAACUCUGUGCCAGCAGCCGCGGUAAUACAGAGGGUGCAAGCGUUAAUCGGAAUUACUGGGCGUAAAGCGCGCGUAGGUGGUUCAGUAAGAUGGGUGUGAAAUCCCCGGGCUUAACCUGGGAACUGCUUUCAUAACUGCUGAGCUAGAGUACGGUAGAGGGUAGUGGAAUUUCCUGUGUAGCGGUGAAAUGCGUAGAUAUAGGAAGGAACAUCAGUGGCGAAGGCGACCACCUGGGCUAAUACUGACACUGAGGUGCGAAAGCGUGGGGAGCAAACA
This 399-nucleotide ribosomal RNA is filed under the name uncultured bacterium. RNAcentral describes it as "partial 16S ribosomal RNA". It matches the Rfam family "Bacterial small subunit ribosomal RNA", at positions 360 to 774 of the family's 1533-position model. The record is from RNAcentral.